UACAGAGUGAACAAUGGCGGCCACCACUUCGUUUUAUAUGUCUUUUAUUCGUGUUUCUAGGUCACAAAAUAAGCUUUUAAGAUAUUUUCAGGCGAGAAUGUAGGUGUGUAAACUUCAAAUAUCUGCUUGUUUUAUCAAGACAUCCCAUAUUUAGCGACAGUGCUCUGACUACGUUGGUCCUGCCUGACAGCUAGCCGGCUACCUAGCUGGCUACCUAGCUAGCUGCCGCACUUGGCUGCAAAUGGAUAGCGAGGGGACUCUCUCUGUCGUUUCACCUCCCUGGUCUCUCGCAAAUGCUCGCAUAGAAUCGGAGUUACAGCUGGAUGUGGAAAAAAUAACUGAGUUGUUUGGUGGUGGAGCUACAACAGAGGGCAGCUACCCACCGGUGUGUGACAGAAAGGACAUGCCGCCAACGAGACAUAUGAGGCCGGGCAGGCGAUUGCUAACGCGGUGGUCAAUCAUGGAUCAGGGAAAGCGAAGGCAGGAGCGUGAGGUGAACUGAAUUUCAGGUAAGAAGUUAUGAACUGCACUCUAUUUGGGUCAGAUAUAAACCGAGUUUAGGUGUAGUUUAUUUAGCAGCAGUUCUCUUAUGUGUUGCUGAUAGCCGGCUAGCUAGCUAGCGCCGCUAGCAUAGUUAGCUCGCGCCGCUAGCAACCCUUCGUGAAAAAGCACCCAGGCUUGGCUUAUAUUGAGGCGGGUGAAACUCGUGUCAGCACCCGGUCGCUCUCUAUUUGGGUCAGAUAUAAACCGAGUUUAGGUGUAGUUUAUUUAGCAGCAGUUCUCUUAUGUGUUGCUGAUAGCCGGC
Oreochromis aureus is the source of this 805-nucleotide long non-coding RNA. NCBI's taxonomy places the organism in Eukaryota, Metazoa, Chordata, Actinopteri, Cichliformes, Cichlidae. The record is from Ensembl.